Quercus robur (English oak) is the source of this 1456-nucleotide RNA transcript. It is a transcript of the gene named chaperonin CPN60-like 2, mitochondrial, with no coding region annotated. The transcript is spliced from 8 exons. The record is from RefSeq and is a predicted model, not a curated record. NCBI's taxonomy places the organism in Eukaryota, Viridiplantae, Streptophyta, Magnoliopsida, Fagales, Fagaceae.
AUGUAAACCCAGCAAUCCGACCGAAGACUCCUACCUCCUCUCCAAAGUCCGAACGGAAAAACAAAAGAAAAAAAGAAAAGAAAACCUAAGGCUGAAAAAAAAGACAGAGUGAGAGGCGAGAGGCUCAGAGACUUUGCCGCUGCCCACGCCGUGAGUGAAGCUACCAAAACGCUAGUGAAAUCUUGCUGCUGCCCACGCCGUGACGCCGCCACCACGCGAGAGCGGCGAGACCCAUCUGGCAGACCCAUGCGACACCCAUCUCGCCGUGACGCCGCUGCUGGCUUUGAUCUUAAAAGCAAUGCCAGACUUCUAUCAAAUGAUACCUUUUUAAAUACUUUAUGAACAGGCAUUGACUUGCAACUCAGUCUGAUGAGCGCCUACACAUAUGUUUGUGCAAUCAAAGCUCCUGGUUUUGGGGAAAAUAGAAGAGCAAACUUAGAUGAUCUUGCCAUUCUUACCGGGGGAGAGGUUAUCACUGAAGACCGUGGUUUAACCCUUGACAAAGUUCAAUUUGAAAUGCUUGGAACUGCAAAGAAGGUGUCUGUCUCUCUUGAUGACACAAUAAUUCUACAUGGAGGUGGGGAUAAGAAGCUGAUUGAAGAAAGAUGUGCAGAGGCACCUUCAUUCACAAUAGCCUCAAAUGCUGGUUUUGAUGGUGCACUGGUUAUUGGCAAAUUGUUGGAACAAGAUAAUCAUAAUUUGGGUUUUGAUGCUGCUAAAGGUGGAGGAGAGAAUCAUAGAUCCUCUCAAAGUGGUUAGAACAGCUUUAGUCGACGCUGCCAGUUGAAAAUAUUUUAUUAGUAAAGAAGUUGCAUUAUCAAGUACUAGGGACCAGGAUCUGAAUGGUGGCUAUGGCAGUUAUUUUAGCAGGAUUUGCUCCUCUUCACCUCUAAAUCUAUCAAAAGGGCCGCUUUGCAAGCUAUCAGCAAUGACCAAGUUUCUGUUUCCAGCCUUGUAACAGCUGUAUUUACUCAUGAUCUUUGGUUGGAACACUACGAGUGCUAUUGUCAGCUGUUUGAAGAUGUCUAUGCCACUUGCAGAAGGACAACUCUGUUGUUGGUUGGCUUCUCUGCUGGGAGGUGACAAAUGCAAUUUCAAAGUGAACAUUGAGUUGGAGCUUGGAUUUGCCCAGAGUCUGCGCAUUAUCAAGAUGCCUGAAUUGAUGGAGUGCUUGUUGAUCAAUACCACCGUUUGGCUAGGCCACUGGUGAACUCAUGAGAACGAGGUUGCCCCAGAACUCUCAACUGGUUAAGCUUGUUUGCUGCCAAACUGAUUUGUGGGGUGGAUAGAAGAGUCCUGCCGAUCUCUGAGCCUCUACUAUGAGAUUCAAUGUUUUGUGAAUAGCAAAUUAAAUCUUCAAAAUAUUGUCAAUAUUCUUACCUUACAAUUAACAAAAAAAGAAAAAAAAUCUAUUUAAUUUUGAGAUCGCAUUUGAAUAUAUAAUAUAGUUUUUUUU